RNAcentral lists this ribosomal RNA (253 nucleotides) under uncultured bacterium. Its description in RNAcentral is "partial 16S ribosomal RNA". It matches the Rfam family "Bacterial small subunit ribosomal RNA", at positions 524 to 776 of the family's 1533-position model. The record is from RNAcentral.
UACGGAGGGUGCAAGCGUUGUCCGGAUUUAUUGGGUUUAAAGGGUGCGUAGGCGGCGAUAUAAGUCAGUGGUGAAAUACGACAGCUUAACUGUCGAACUGCCAUUGAUACUGUAUUGCUUGAGUACAGACGAGGUAGGCGGAAUUGAUAGUGUAGCGGUGAAAUGCAUAGAUACUAUCAAGAACACCGAUUGCGAAGGCAGCUUACUAGGCUGUAACUGACGCUGAGGCACGAAAGCGUGGGGAUCAAACAGG